CCUACGGGCGGCAGCAGUGAGGAAUAUUGGUCAAUGGCCGGAAGGCUGAACCAGCCAAGCCGCGUGAAGGACAAAGGUGCCAAGCAUUGUAAACUUCUUUUGUCAAGGGACAAAAUCAGGCUCGAGAGCCUGACCGAGGGUACUUGAAGAAAAAGCAUCGGCUAACUCCGUGCCAGCAGCCGCGGUAAUACGGAGGAUGCGAGCGUUAUCCGGAUUUAUGGGGUUUACAGGGAGCGUAGGCGGGCUGUUAAGUCAGCGGAAAAAGCCCGGGGCUGAAACCCGGGGAGCCGGUUAAACCGGCUGGCUUGAGAUGUCGUGAGGGAUGCGGAAUGGGCAGUGGAGCGGUGAAAUGCUUAGAUAUUGGGGAGAACUCCGAUUGGGAAGGCAGCAUAACGGCCGCGAUCUGACGCUGAGGGACGAAAGCGUGGGUAUCGAACAGGAUUAGAUACCCUGGUAGUC
RNAcentral lists this ribosomal RNA (459 nucleotides) under uncultured bacterium. RNAcentral's name for it is "partial 16S ribosomal RNA". It matches the Rfam family "Bacterial small subunit ribosomal RNA", at positions 338 to 795 of the family's 1533-position model. The record is from RNAcentral.